RNAcentral lists this long non-coding RNA (639 nucleotides) under Heterocephalus glaber (naked mole-rat). Its description in RNAcentral is "lncRNA (ENSHGLG00100051706.1)". The record is from RNAcentral. Lineage: Eukaryota; Metazoa; Chordata; Mammalia; Rodentia; Bathyergidae.
GGCCAUGGUGGGUGCUCCUGAGCCUGGAAAAGAAGAGGAGGAGAGAGCCUUGUCUUCCAAAGGGGGAAAUGCACCAUGUGGAGUACUGGGGACCUGCUCAGUUUUCCAGCCAGAGAUCACCAAACUUUGCUGUGCUUCCCAAACUCCAGAUCCUAAAAAUCCCUUGGGACCUUGCACCUUGAUCCUCUGCACCCAGAACUGUGUCUCCCAGCCGUGCUCCAGAGAUUUCUGUCCUCCAACUACUCUUGGAUGCUUCUCAGCUUGUGUCUACCCCUCAGCAUCCUGGAGCUCAGCCACCAUGCUUUCUCCUAGUCCAGCCUGGCCUCCUGCACAAGUGUACUGGCCCCAACUUUACCAAGCCAGCCUCAUCCUCCUUCAAGACACAGCAAGAUUUGCAGGGGUGCUCAGCUGCUGGCCUCAGCUUCCUGUCCAGACACCAUGGAGUGACACCCAGAGAUCCCCUAGACCUGCAUCCUGAGACUUCAGGAGAAACAGGGCCUUGUGGACCAAUUUGUGCUGAGUAUUCCCUGACCCCCGAGCAGGAGCAGUAAUCUCAGAGGAACUUGAUUUUCACCUGUGGCCACAAGGACCUCUCACCUCGAAGAAAUAGUCCAGGGAAAACCACCAACCAGGCCAGAG